GAAGCGGGAAAAGCUCAAAUUUGAAAUCUGGCGGUCUUUGAUCGUCCGAGUUGUAAUCUAGAGAAGUUGUUACCUGUGCAGGACCAUGUACAAGUCUCCUGRAAUGGGGCAUCAUAGAGGGUGAGAAUCCCGUCUUUGACAUGGACUACCUGCAUGUUGUGGUGCGCUCUCAAAGAGUCGAGUUGUUUGGGAAUGCAGCUCAAAAUGGGUGGUAAAUGCCAUCUAAAGCUAAAUAUUGGCGAGAGACCGAUAGCGAACAAGUACCGUGAGGGAAAGAUGAAAAGCACUUUGGAAAGAGAGUUAAACAGUACGUGAAAUUGCUGAAAGGGAAACGCUUGAAGUCAGUCACAUUGGCCAGAAAUCAGCCUUGCUUUUGUGAGGUGUACUUUCUGUUUGAUGGGUCAGCAUCAAUUUCGAUCGCUGGAUAAAGUCUCUGGGAAUGUGGCAUCUUCGGAUGUGUUAUAGCCCAUUGUCACAUGCAGCGGUUGGGAUUGAGGAACUCAGCACGCCGAAAGGCCGGGUUUCGACCCAUGUCCGUGCUUAGGAUGCUGGCAUAAUGGCUUUAAUCGACCCGUCUUGAAACACGGACCAAGGAGUCUAACAUGCCUGCGAGUGUUUGGGUGGAAAACCCAUGCGCGCAAUGAAAGUGAAAGUUGAGAUCCCUCUAGUAGGGGAGCAUCGACGCCCGGACCAGACCUUUUGUGACGGAUCCGCGGUAGAGCAUGCAUGUUGGGACCCGAAAGAUGGUGAACUAUGCCUGAAUAGGGUGAAGCCAGAGGAAACUCUGGUGGAGGCUCGUAGCGAUUCUGACGUGCAAAUCGAUCGUCAAAUU
RNAcentral lists this ribosomal RNA (832 nucleotides) under Inocybe grammata var. chamaesalicis. RNAcentral describes it as "partial large subunit ribosomal RNA". It matches the Rfam family "Eukaryotic large subunit ribosomal RNA", at positions 95 to 911 of the family's 3401-position model. The record is from RNAcentral. Lineage: Eukaryota; Fungi; Basidiomycota; Agaricomycetes; Agaricales; Inocybaceae.